This 467-nucleotide ribosomal RNA is filed under the name uncultured bacterium. RNAcentral describes it as "partial 16S ribosomal RNA". It matches the Rfam family "Bacterial small subunit ribosomal RNA", at positions 28 to 507 of the family's 1533-position model. The record is from RNAcentral.
GACGAACGCUGGCGGCGUGCUUAACACAUGCAAGUCGAACGGAAAGGCCUCUUUCGGGGGGUACUCGAGUGGCGAACGGGUGAGUAACACGUGAGUAACCUGCCCUUGACUUUGGGAUAACUUCAGGAAACUGGGGCUAAUACCGGAUAGGAGCUCCUGCUGCAUGGUGGGGGUUGGAAAGUUUCGGCGGUUGGGGAUGGACUCGCGGCUUAUCAGCUUGUUGGUGGGGUAGUGGCUUACCAAGGCUUUGACGGGUAGCCGGCCUGAGAGGGUGACCGGCCACAUUGAGACUGAGGGAAGGCCGCGGCGCCUACUGGAGGAAGCUGUGGGGAAUAUUGCACAAGGGGUGGAGGCCGGAUGCAGCAACGCCGUGGGCGGGAUGACGGCCUUCGGGUUGUAAACCGCUUUCGCUCAUGACGAAGCUUUGUGUGACGGUAGUGGGUAAAGAAGCACCGGCUAACUACGUG